UGGACGUGGAGGAUACAACGGCAGAAGAGGGUAUUGCCGCUAUGGUUGCUGCGAUAGAGGUUAUCAUGGGCGCGGAGGUUGCAGGCGCUGCUGCCACUAUGCUGGUGAGACUGUUGAUGCCCAAACCCAAGUCCAGACACAUGACUAGAGCACCAUAAAUUAUAAAUAAGCGCUACAAUGCAUAGCUCGGUGUAUAUAUAUAUGCACAGACGAAUGGUUUAAUGAAAUAUAUAAUGUGUGUUUAGUGUGUUAGUCUUUUGCUAACACAACUUUUGUGUAAGCACCGAGUAGUAUUUGUAGCGCCAGAAGUGCUUAAUAAGUUAAUAAAUAAAAUUACGAGUAUGGAUAUGUGAUGGUAGUUUUGUAGUGUUGUAUGCAUGCUCUAAAAUACUUCUUACUCCUUUUGUAUAUAAACUAUGCAAAUAUAUUAAAAACUAAGUAAGUAUUGAAUUAAAAUCUUAAACAAAAACCCUAGAGAGACAAGAGAAUGAGAGAGAGUCCAAACAGGUUCUGAAGAGCUCAUUUCUUUUUUUUAUUUAUACUGAAAAAUAUUGAAGAAUCUGUAAAGUGCACAAAUUUUUCACAAAUAUGAUAUACAAACUAAAUUAGAAAAUGCCAACAUAUAUAUAUAUACACACACAUACUCAUAUUACAUACACACGCAUCAUGCUUUUGAAGCUUCAGCACGAAAGCCCAAUGGAGAGAUGAAUGUUGGGAUUGGGCCUAAAUCUUAUUCUUUCAGUAUUUCAAAUUUAUUUCGAUUAACAACUACAUAAUAAAACUUUUCGUCUUAAGCUUCUGUUAUUAUCUUAAGUUUUUCAAAAUAAAAGAGAUAUUUAAAUUAAAGUGACAGCCGAACUGAGUAUUUAAAUAUUUGAUUUUGAUUUUUUUCAAAUAGUGUUAAGUUCAGGUUUUGCUUGAAGUUUGAUUAAUUAUCUUAAAGGCUCAAACUUAAUUUGCUUGCAAAGAGUUUCAACUUGAAAAAAUUCAAAUUAUAUAAAAUUUAUUUGGAUAAAUUCGAUAAAUAAUAUCCUAUUUACUUAUUUUUGUUUAAUUUUUAUGAAAAUAUUUUUUAUAUUAUCAAAUACGUACUCAAAAAAAUAUAUAAAAAUAUUAACUUAUUAAGGAUUCAAAACUUAUAAAAGUAAAAGAUUUUUUUUUUUUAUAAGACUUAAUAUUCUAAGAGAAUCAAUACUAUUAUAUGGAUCAAAAGUAAUUUUACUUAUAAUAGUCAUAAUACUAGAAUUUAACAAAAUUGAUUUUUCGAAAGUACUUAUUGAUUUUGCUCCAGGUGGAGUAAACUUAUCUUACAUUCAUUCCCGAGCCUCCGAAAUCUUAACAGUUCUGAAGAGAACUUUCUACGCUAGUUUUAUUUUAUUCAAUUAAAAUUAAACUACUUUGUUCACUAAAGUAUUUUAUCUGGGAGAUGUUUUUAUCUUUCUUUUUGGUAUAAUUCACUUUUAAUUUAACAUUGAAGAGAGUAAUGUUGUUACUUACGCAAUUCUAAGUAACCAAAAUUCAGGGAUGAUCACUUUAAGAAAUGUUAUUUUUGCCUCAAAACCACUAAUAUAGCCUAAUGUUACUGUCAAGGCAUACAAUUGGACAAACAUGUUGUGCAAGAACUUCAUUCAUGAAAAUAAACUUUUAAUACCUCAGAAAAAAUAUUAUCUUAUAUAUAAUAUAUGUUUGUGAUUUUCUUAUAAUUUAUGAAUUGUCAAAAAUCAUGCAAUGAAAGUAAUGAGUGAAGACAACAGAAAUGCAUGAACAAAUAUUAUAUAUGGAAUAGAUUUAAUAUAUUUUAUAAAAUUAUUGGAUGACUCAAUCAUUUUAAAAUUUAAAUAUAAUUUAUUGAUUGAUUCAAUUUAUUAUUUAUAUUAUAUAAUCGUAGCCCAAAAUAUGUAUUUGGGUAUGUACAAGAGGUUGAGGGAGAGAUGAAAGGAGAUAAAUAGGGAUAUAUAUACACACACACACACGUGUGUGUAUAUAUAAUCAAGAAGAAAAAAAUUAGUUUAUUCCAUUAGGACAAAAGUUUAAGUGGAUCAAAAAACUAUAUUCCACCAUUUUCUCACACAAUUAGAUUAUCACUUAUAAUAAUUUUAAUUUAUUUGUUUAAUAGAUUUCGGCUCCUUCACUUCCCUUCCUCCCAUGGAGUUGAGUUCAACUAAUUGGUGAAUCCAAGUCCAAACUUAACUAUAUCUUACUAAUGGAUAGUCCAUAUAUAUAUACAUAUAUAUAUAUGUAUAUGUAUAUGUAUACGCACGGGCUGUACAAUACAGAUUUCAGUUGAAUGAUUAUGCAUGCGUCACACAUGACGUUUGUUUUAAAUGUUAUUUGCAUGUAUGUAUGUGAUUUUUAACUAACCAAAAAUCAAAAUUAUUCCUUGAUAAUUUUUAAAACUCUGAACAUCUACCUCGAAAAUUAGUACAUCUUAUACUAGAAAUAUCGUACUUUAUGACAUAUAUAUAUAUAUAUACAUGAAGAUAUACACUUAAAUCCAUGUGGAUAUAGAAUGGACACAUGCAUGGACUCUAACAUAAAUGCUACGACUUGUUCAAUGCGAUAGCUACAAUUAUUCAUGUACUUUCAAAAUUAAUUAAUAGCAAGUAAUUUUUUUAUAAAUUAAAUAAUUAAUUUAAAUUAAAGCGAUCGAUUAUCGGAAACGAAUCUAUCAUAUCUUCAACUUCAAUCUAAUCCACACAAGUAAUAUUUUCAACCCAACUCCAAUCAUACAUUAUUUUCUUUUCUCUUUUUUAUUAAUUUAGUUAAUAUUAAAAUUUUAUAUACGAUUAAGAUAAAUGUUAAUUAGUGUAUUUUAUUUUAAUUUUGAAGAUUCAAUUCGAUUUAUAAUUGUCAAUAAAAUAAAUAAAUUUUGAUUCUCAAUUCAAUUAUCAAUUUAACAAUUAUUUUAAAUUUUUAUAUGAUAAUUAAUCAUAUGAUUAGUUAUUUAAAAUGAUAUUAAAUGCCCAAAAUUUUAUUAAAAAUUAAUUUUCCCAAAUAAUUGAGCUUUUUAGUUAAUUUACGACUGCUUCCGUUUAUUUUAUUUUUAUUUUUUUUUAUUUUUUUGGAAGCAGAAAAUAUUGACUUUUUCUCAUCUUACAAGUCUCUUCCCAAUCACAUACGCAAUAAAUAAAGCUCAGAGCAACUCCCCACAAUUACUGCUUCUUUUAUUUUCACCACUUGAAAAAUAAGUAAAUUCAUAGUAAGAAGAAAAUGUUGAAUUUUCCUUUUUUUUCAUUAAAUCAAUUAAUGUAAGAUGUACGUCUUGAUAACUCUUCAACAGCCACCUACUGUUGCGGGCCAUCAUAUGUAUAUAUUUGCGCUGAAAAUGUAUCUCCUUCUUCCCCCUAUAAAUACACACAGCCAACCAUUACUUGUCAUCACAUCCUUCAUACUAAGUAGAGCCAGUGUCGAGUUGCAGCAACCAAAAACCAUGGCAUCGAAGAUUUUCCUUCUCCUAGGCCUUUCAUUGGCCAUACUUCUUCUCAUCUCCUCCGAGGUGGCUGCAAGAGACCUCGCCGAGACGGAGACCCAGCAGGAACAUGGUCAGCUUUACCUUCUUCAUUCUGACAAUCACUCUUUACUACUUUAUUAAUCACAUGCAAUGUAGUUACUAACACUACAUAUCUAUACGAAUAAUGAUCAUAUGCAUAUACUGCGUGUAAAUUUAUGCAGGAGAGGUUGAGGAAGAGACAAAUGGAGUGGAAGAGGCUAAGUAUCCAGGAUAUGGAGGAUACCCUGGAGGCGGCGGAUACAACGGUGGGUACAACGGUGGACGUGGAGGAUACAACGGCAGAAGAGGGUAUUGCCGCUAUGGUUGCUGCGAUAGAGGUUAUCAUGGGCGCGGAGGUUGCAGGCGCUGCUGCCACUAUGCUGGUGAGACUGUUGAUGCCCAAACCCAAGUCCAGACACAUGACUAGAGCACCAUAAAUUAUAAAUAAGCGCUACAAUGCAUAGCUCGGUGUAUAUAUAUAUGCACAGACGAAUGGUUUAAUGAAAUAUAUAAUGUGUGUUUAGUGUGUUAGUCUUUUGCUAACACAACUUUUGUGCAAGCACCGAUUAGUAUUUGUAGCGCCAGAAGUGCUUAAUAAGUUAAUAAAUAAAAUUACGAGUAUGGAUAUGUGAUGGUAGUUUUGUAGUGUUGUAUGCAUGCUCUAAAAUACUUUUUACUCAUUUUGUAUAUAAACUAUGCAAAUAUAUUAAAAACUAAGUAAGUAUUGAAUUAAAAUCUUAAACAAAAACCCUAGAGAGACAAGAGAAUGAGAGAGAGUCCAAACAGGUUCUGAA
This 4284-nucleotide long non-coding RNA is filed under the name Carica papaya (papaya). RNAcentral describes it as "long non-coding RNA (CPAP_LNC005942)". Lineage: Eukaryota; Viridiplantae; Streptophyta; Magnoliopsida; Brassicales; Caricaceae. The record is from RNAcentral.